This 460-nucleotide ribosomal RNA is filed under the name uncultured bacterium. Its description in RNAcentral is "partial 16S ribosomal RNA". It matches the Rfam family "Bacterial small subunit ribosomal RNA", at positions 338 to 795 of the family's 1533-position model. The record is from RNAcentral.
CCUACGGGAGACAGCAGUGAGGAAUAUUGGUCAAUGGGCGUAAGCCUGAACCAGCCAAGUCGCGUGAGGGAUGAAGGUUCUAUGGAUCGUAAACCUCUUUUAUAAGGGAAUAAAGUGUGGGACGUGUCCUGUUUUGUAUGUACCUUAUGAAUAAGGAUCGGCUAACUCCGUGCCAGCAGCCGCGGUAAUACGGAGGAUCCGGGCGUUAUCCGGAUUUAUUGGGUUUAACGGGUGCGUAGGCGGCCUUUUAAGUCAGCGGUGAAAGUCUGUGGCUCAACCAUAGAAUUGCCGUUGAAACUGGGAGGCUUGAGUAUGUUUGAGGCAGGCGGAAUGCGUGGUGUAGCGGUGAAAUGCUUAGAUAUCACGCAGAACCCCGAUUGCGAAGGCAGCCUGCCAGGCCAUGACUGACGCUGAUGCACGAAAGCGUGGGGAUCAAACAGGAUUAGAUACCCGGGUAGUC